This 1941-nucleotide ribosomal RNA is filed under the name human gut metagenome. Its description in RNAcentral is "bacterial LSU rRNA". It matches the Rfam family "Bacterial large subunit ribosomal RNA", at positions 3 to 1990 of the family's 2925-position model. The record is from RNAcentral.
UUAAGCUACAAAGGGCGUAGGGUGAAUGCCUUGGCAUCAAGAGCCGAUGAAGGACGUGAUAAGCUGCGAUAAGCUAUGGGUAGGAGCAAAUAUCCACUAAUCCAUAGAUCUCCGAAUGAGGAAACUCAACUAGUAACAAUAUACUAGUUAUCCAUACAUGAGUAAAGUAGUGUAUGAGAAGGGAACGUGGGGAACUGAAACAUCUUAGUACCCACAGGAAAAGAAAGAAAUUAUUCGAUUCCUAGAGUAGUGGCGAGCGAAAUAGGAAGAGCCCAAACUGUAAGUAGUAAUACAUACAGGGUUCGGACUGCAUAAUCGAUUUAAUGAGUUUAGUAGAAGUGUUUUGGAAAAGCACACCAUAGAUGGUGAAAGUCCAGUAUGCGAAAAGCGAGUUAACGAGGCAGUAUCCAGAGUAGCACGAGGCACGUGGAAUCUCGUGUGAAUGUGUGGGGACCAUCCCAUAAGGCUAAAUACUACUUGAUGACCGAUAGUGAACGAGUACCGUGAGGGAAAGGUGAAAAGAACCCCGGGAGGGGAGUGAAAUAGAAUUUGAAACCCUAUGUUUACAAGCAGACAAAGCACGUUAAGGUGCGAUGUCGUACUUUUUGUAGAACGGUCCAGCGAGUUAUUGUAUAUGGCAAGGUUAAAUACUAAGUAAGGUAUGGAGCCGAAGCGAAAGCGAGUGUUAAUAGCGCGUUUAAGUCAUAUGUAAUAGACCCGAAACCGAGUGACCUAUCCAUGGUCAGGAUGAAGCUAGAGUAAAAUCUAGUGGAGGUCCGAACUGAUUGUCGUUAAAAAGGCACCGGAUGAACUGUGGAUAGCGGAGAAAUUCCAAUCGAACUCGGAGAUAGCUGGUUCUCCUCGAAAUAGCUUUAGGGCUAGCCUUGAGGUAAAGACGUAUGGGGGUAGAGCACUGAAUGAGCUAGGGGCCUAACCAGGUUACUGAACUCUAUCAAACUACGAAUACCAUAUUGUUAUACUCAGGAGUCAGACUGCGGGAGCUAAGUUCCGUGGUCAAAAGGGAAAGAGCCCAGAUCGUCAAUUAAGGUCCCAAAGAUAUAGCUAAGUGGAAAACGAUGUGAUUUUGCGUAAACAACCAGGAUGUUGGCUCAGAAGCAGCCACUCAUUCAAAGAGUGCGUAACAGCUCACUGGUCGAGUGAAAUUGCGCGGAAAAUUACCGGGGCUAAGCUAUACACCGAAAUUGCGGAUUCAAGGAUUUAUCCUUGAGUGGUAGAGGAGCAUUCUGUUGUAGGUUGAAGUAUGACCGUAAGGACAUGUGGACGAAGCAGAAGAGAGAAUGCUGGAAUAAGUAGCGAGAGCAAGGUGAGAAUCCUUGCCGUCGAAAGUCUAAGGUUUCCUGGGGAAGGUUCGUCCGCCCAGGGUUAGUCGGGACCUAAGGAGAGGCCGAGAGGCGUAUCUGAUGGACAGCAGGUUGAUAUUCCUGCACUAUAGAUAUACUUAAAAGAUGCAAGGGACGCAGAAGUGGAAGGGAUGCGAGGAAGAGGAAAAACUCGUAUCGAAAGAUAUAGUGAAAAUAAAGUAACGAAUUCCCAAGAAGCACGCUGACGAGAAAAGCUUGUAGAUAUUGUAUAUAAAUACCCGUACCGCAAACCGACACAGGUAGAUGAGGAGAGGAUCCUAAGACGAGCGGGAGAAGCAUUGUUAAGGAACUCGGCAAAUUGACCCCGUAACUUCGGAAUAAGGGGUGCCUAUGUAAAAGUAGGCCGCAGAGAAUAGGCCCAAGCAACUGUUUAACAAAAACACAGGUUUCUGCUAAAUCGAAAGAUGAAGUAUAGGAGCUGACGCCUGCCCAGUGCUGGAAGGUUAAGGGAAAGAGUUAGGGUUAAACCGAAGCUUAGAACUGAAGCCCCAGUGAACGGCGGCCGUAACUAUAACGGUCCUAAGGUAGCGAAAUUCCUUGUCAGGUAAGUUCUGACCCG